AGUGAACGCUGGCGGUAGGCCUAACACAUGCAAGUCGAACGGCAGCACAGUAAGAGCUUGCUCUUACGGGUGGCGAGUGGCGGACGGGUGAGGAAUACAUCGGAAUCUACUUUUUCGUGGGGGAUAACGUAGGGAAACUUACGCUAAUACCGCAUACGACCUACGGGUGAAAGCAGGGGAUCUUCGGACCUUGCGCGAUUGAAUGAGCCGAUGUCGGAUUAGCUAGUUGGCGGGGUAAAGGCCCACCAAGGCGACGAUCCGUAGCUGGUCUGAGAGGAUGAUCAGCCACACUGGAACGGAGACACGGUCCAGACUCCUACGGGAGGCAGCAGUGGGGAAUAUUGGACAAUGGGCGCAAGCCUGAUCCAGCCACACCGCGUAGGUGAAGAAGGCCUUCGGGUUGUAAAGCCCUUUUGUUGGGAAAGAAAAGCAGCAGGUUAAUACCCCGCUGUUCUGACGGUACCCAAAGAAUAAGCACCGGCUAACUUCGUG
This 492-nucleotide ribosomal RNA is filed under the name uncultured bacterium. RNAcentral's name for it is "partial 16S ribosomal RNA". It matches the Rfam family "Bacterial small subunit ribosomal RNA", at positions 29 to 507 of the family's 1533-position model. The record is from RNAcentral.